GAAAUGUUAGGACAGAGUGAAAGACAGUUUAAAUUAUUUCUCUGUUAACAGGAAUAGAUGUCUUGAAUACAUUAACAGAUAUCUAAUUUAGAAAUAUUUUUAUACAAAAAAAAAGUUAAAAAAGCCCCAAACCCCAGAGCAAUACAAUUCUGCUUAGUCAAUAAGUCUUUGCUUACCCUGGAUAGUCUCAAAGAUAAUUACCCUUGGAAAAAAUAAGUCAUUUAUUGAGGUUUUCCCCUCCCAACUAAUUUAUCCUGACUGCUCUUGCAAUGAAAUUAAAAUCUCUUUCUCUAUUUAGGAUUUAAAAUAAUCUAUUGCCUGAAACCAGCCAUCAGAAAUCCACAUUAUAAUUUUGCUUAAAGAGCAAAGAGGACUAGAUAAAGCGAGAUAAGUCCCUUCUUUGAGAUACAAUUAUCUUUCAUAGCUUAAAAAGAAAAGAACAAUGGUGUAUGAAAUAUACUCUAAAUGAUUAAAUACUGCAACAUGAAAAUCAGCCUGUAACAAAAACCCACUCCAGAGAAUAUUCCUGAAUACCAAUAUCAUCACUUUCUCACAUGAUCAGAAUUCAGGACUUGCACAUUCCUCCACACCAGGUGUUAACUACCCCAGUAAAGCUGAUAAUGUUUCUAUCUUGCAGCAAUAACAAAAAGAUGGAUCACUUUCUUGGCAGUCUUAGGAAGGAGCUACAAUGCCAAAUUAUAAUGUUAACUAAUACCUGGAUAAGUUCCUGUCUGAGAACUGAUAUCACCAUGAUGUUUUUCAGACAUUAUUCCAGUGGAGCACUUGAAAGCAGAGCUGAAGCUUAGCCCCUGAAAAGGAAGCUCAAGAAUAAGGAAAUGAGAAGAAGGAAAAACAGUGGGAGGACUGCGUUUAUUUAAAAAAAAAAAAUAAAAAAGUUGUGAAGUUUUGAGCUUCA
Long non-coding RNA from Cyanistes caeruleus (blue tit), 916 nucleotides. Lineage: Eukaryota; Metazoa; Chordata; Aves; Passeriformes; Paridae. The record is from Ensembl.